Molecule: ribosomal RNA, 279 nt
Filed under: uncultured bacterium
Lineage: Bacteria
Description: partial 16S ribosomal RNA
Rfam family: Bacterial small subunit ribosomal RNA
Source: RNAcentral
UGCCAGCCGCCGCGGUAAUACGGAGGGUGCAAGCGUUAAUCGGAAUUACUGGGCGUAAAGGGCGCGUAGGUGGUUCGAUAAGUCGGGUGUGAAAGCCCCGGGCUUAACCUGGGAAUUGCAUUCGAUACUGUCGAACUAGAGUGUGGUAGAGGGAAGUGGAAUUCCCGGUGUAGCGGUGAAAUGCGUAGAUAUUCGGAGGAACACCAGUGGCGAAGGCGGCUUUCUGGACCGAUACUGACGCUGAGACGCGAAAGCGUGGGGAGCAAACAGGAUUAGAUA